AAGGCCUGCAGCUUGCUGCGGGUACUCGAGUGGCGAACGGGUGAGUAACACGUGGGUGAUCUGCCUUGCACUUCGGGAUAAGCUUGGGAAACUGGGUCUAAUACCGGAUAGGACAGCUGUUUAGUGUCAGUUGUGGAAAGUUUUUUCGGUGCAAGAUGAGCUCGCGGCCUAUCAGCUUGUUGGUGGGGUAAUGGCCUACCAAGGCGUCGACGGGUAGCCGGCCUGAGAGGGUGUACGGCCACAUUGGGACUGAGAUACGGCCCAGACUCCUACGGGAGGCAGCAGUGGGGAAUAUUGCACAAUGGGCGGAAGCCUGAUGCAGCGACGCCGCGUGGGGGAUGAAGGCCUUCGGGUUGUAAACUCCUUUCGACAGGGACGAAGCGUAAGUGACGGUACCUGUAUAAGAAGCACCGGCUAACUACGUGCCAGCAGCCGCGGUAAUACGUAGGGUGCGAGCGUUGUCCGGAAUUACUGGGCGUAAAGAGCUCGUAGGUGGUUUGUCGCGUCGUCUGUGAAAUUCCGGGGCUUAACUCCGGGCGUGCAGGCGAUACGGGCUGACUUGAGUGCUGUAGGGGAGACUGGAAUUCCUGGUGUAGCGGUGAAAUGCGCAGAUAUCAGGAGGAACACCGAUGGCGAAGGCAGGUCUCUGGGCAGUAACUGACGCUGAGGAGCGAAAGCAUGGGUAGCGAACAGGAUUAGAUACCCUGGUAGUCCAUGCCGUAAACGGUGGGCGCUAGGUGUAGGGGGCUUCCACGUCUUCUGUGCCGUAGCUAACGCAUUAAGCGCCCCGCCUGGGGAGUACUGCCGCAAG
RNAcentral lists this ribosomal RNA (811 nucleotides) under uncultured Actinomycetes bacterium. RNAcentral describes it as "bacterial SSU rRNA". It matches the Rfam family "Bacterial small subunit ribosomal RNA", at positions 70 to 892 of the family's 1533-position model. Lineage: Bacteria; Bacillati; Actinomycetota; Actinomycetes. The record is from RNAcentral.